AAUGAACGCUGGCGGCAGGCCUAACACAUGCAAGUCGAGCGAAGUCUUCGUACUUAUCGGCGGACGGGUGAGUAACGCGUUGUAACAUGCCCUUUGGUUCGGAAUAUCCCCGUUAAACUGGUAGUAAUACCGCAUGUUCCCUUCUGGGGAAAGAUUUAUCGCCAAAGGAUUGUCCCGCGUUGGAUUAGGUUGUUGGUGGGGUAAUGGCCUACAAAGCCUACGAUACAUAGCUGGUUUGAGAGGAUGAUCAGCCACACUGGGACUGAGACACGGAGCAGAAUACUACGGGAGGGAGCAGUGGGGAAUAUAAGAAAAUGGGGGAAAGGAUGAACAAGCCAUGACGCGUGAAAGAUGAAGGCAUUAGGGUAGAAAAGAAGAUUAAGAGGGGAAGAUAAUGACGGUAACAAAAGAAGAAGCAACGGCUAACUACGUG
RNAcentral lists this ribosomal RNA (433 nucleotides) under uncultured bacterium. RNAcentral's name for it is "partial 16S ribosomal RNA". It matches the Rfam family "Bacterial small subunit ribosomal RNA", at positions 30 to 507 of the family's 1533-position model. The record is from RNAcentral.